AGUGAACGCUGGCGGUAGGCCUAACACAUGCAAGUCGAACGGCAGCACAGUAAGAGCUUGCUCUUACGGGUGGCGAGUGGCGGACGGGUGAGGAAUACAUCGGAAUCUACUUUUUCUGGGGGAAUAACGUCGGAAACCUUACGUAAUUACCGCUUACUACCAAGGGUUAAAAGCAGGGCACCUUCGGACCUUGCCUGUUUGACUGAGCCAAUGUCGGAUUAGCUGGUUGGGGGGGGAAUGGCUCACCAAGGCGACGCUCCGUAGCUGGUCUGAGAGGAUGAUCAGCCACACUGGAACUGAGACACGGUCCAGACUCCUACGGGAGGCAGCAGUGAGGAAUAUUGGACAAUGGGCGCAAGCUUGAUCCAGCCAUACCGCGUGGGUGAAGAAGGCCUUCGGGUUGUAAAGCCCUUUUGUUGGGAAAGAAAAGCAGCAGGUUAAUACCCCGCUGUUCUGACGGUACCCAAAGAAUAAGCACCGGCUAACUUCGUG
This 492-nucleotide ribosomal RNA is filed under the name uncultured bacterium. Its description in RNAcentral is "partial 16S ribosomal RNA". It matches the Rfam family "Bacterial small subunit ribosomal RNA", at positions 29 to 507 of the family's 1533-position model. The record is from RNAcentral.